AGCAGCCGCGGUAAUUCCAGCUCCAAUAGCGUAUAUUAAAGUUGUUGCAGUUAAAAAGCUCGUAGUUGAAUUUCGGGGUUCUACCGUCGGUCGGGCUAACAAGUCUGUACUGGUGUGUAGAACUUCUACCUUCUGGGGAACUAUCAUGUUAUUAAUUUAGCGUGGUAGGAAACCAGGACCUUUACCUUGAAAAAAUUAGAGUGUUCAAAGCAGGCUUAAGUCUGAAUACAUUAGCAUGGAAUAAUAGAAUAGGACGGUGGUCCUGUUUUGUUGGUUUCUGAAUCACCGUAAUGAUUAAUAGGGAUAGUUGGGGGCAUUAGUAUUCAAUUGUCAGAGGUGAAAUUCUUGGAUUUAUUGAAGACUAACUUCUGCGAAAGCAUUUGCCAAGGAUGUUUUCAUUAAUCAAGAACGAAAGUUAGGGGAUCGAAGACGAUCAGAUACCGUCGUAGUCUUAACCAUAAACUAUGCCGACUAGGGAUCGGACGAUGUUAAAUUUUAUUGACUCG
RNAcentral lists this ribosomal RNA (506 nucleotides) under Scutellospora sp. Scut2. RNAcentral describes it as "SSU rRNA". It matches the Rfam family "Eukaryotic small subunit ribosomal RNA", at positions 569 to 1078 of the family's 1831-position model. Lineage: Eukaryota; Fungi; Glomeromycota; Glomeromycetes; Diversisporales; Gigasporaceae. The record is from RNAcentral.